GAAAUUUAUUUUCUAGAAGUUUCAAAUACUCUAGAUCAUAUUUAACGAAGUGAAUCGUCGAUUUGGAAACUCCAUCAUCGAAAACAACUUAGGAGUACGAGGCUCCAAUACUCAUAAUCUCAUAAUAGUAUAGUAGCCACAAGAAUUAUAUACAUUAUAUAUAUAUAUAUAUAUAUAUACUACUUAUAAAAGCGUGAGUUUUGAAUUUUUUCCUUUCCAAAAAUGCAUCUAUUAUUUUUACCAAUAUUGUCAUGUCCAGUAAUUUUCAACUAUCGAUUUUAAAUAAAUCUUUAAAUAAUAAUUUAUUCUCAAAUAUAGAUUUUAAGUUUUCACCAUUAGAUCUCAUCCAAUGAAUAAAAAUAAAAAUAUCUGUCAUUUUUGUUGACAAAAAUACUCUCCAUAUUCGUUAUCUCCUAUGUAUGCAGCGUUUCUUAAAUAUUCUUUUUCUACCCACCAAUCAUUUAAUACGUAAAACUAAAUUUAUCUCUUAUCUAACGUAAUACUCGUCAAUCACGUAACAGCUAAUCACGUAAUACGUAAAAUUAAAUUUAUUUCCUAUUCACGUAUUUUUUUCAAAUAUUUUUUUCUUAUCAAACAUAAUACCUAUCAACACAUAGUAUUCAAAAUUAAAUUUUAAAUUUGUAAUGCCCGCCAAAAUUUAAUACUCGCCAAUUUGAUAAUUUGUAUUUUAAUUUAUGAUAGUAGAUUUUUUCUUACAUAAGAUAGUAGAUUUAAUUUUGACGAGUAUUAAAAUUUGAUGUGCCAUAGAAAAGUUAAAUAUUGUUAAAAAAAUUUUAAUACCCCUAAAUCAAAACUAAAUCAUUAAUAAAAUAUAAUUUUAAAUAUUUUUAGCAAAAUAUUUAAUAUUUAAAUAUUGCAUCAUAAAAGAGUAGAAUAUUUCUAAAAAAAAUAAUACACGCCCAAUAAAAACUAAAUCGUUAAUUAAAUAUAAUUUUAAAUUUUUUAGCAAAAUAUUUAAUAUUUAAAUAGUACACACUAAAAUAUUCUCGGUGUUCUCAAAUAUAAAAUAUAUUUUAUCCAUUUUAAAUAAAUCAUUCUCAAAUAUAGAUCUUAAGUUUUCGGCAUUGGAUUUCAUUCAAUGAAUAAAAAUAAAAGUAUAUGUCAUUCAUAUCCGUUAUCUCCUAUCUACGCGUUUUUCAAAUAAAACUAAAUUUAUAUCUUAUUUAACGUAAUACCCGCCAAUCACGUAAUACCUCCGCUAAUUACGUAACAAAUUAAAUUUAUUUCCUAUCCAAGUAUUUUUUCAAAUAAUUUUUUUUUUCAAACGUAAUACCUACCAGUAUUCAAAAUUAAAUUUUAAAUUUGUAAUUCCCGCCAAAAUUUAAUACCCGCGAAUUUGAUAAUUUAAAUUUUAAUUCAUGAUAUUAGAUUUUUCCUUAUAUAAGAUAGUAAAUUUAAUUUUGACGAGUAUUAAAAUUUGGCGUG
RNAcentral lists this long non-coding RNA (1446 nucleotides) under Ananas comosus (pineapple). Its description in RNAcentral is "long non-coding RNA (ACOM_LNC018026)". The record is from RNAcentral. Lineage: Eukaryota; Viridiplantae; Streptophyta; Magnoliopsida; Poales; Bromeliaceae.